RNAcentral lists this ribosomal RNA (790 nucleotides) under Arthrobacter sp. CF11-28. Its description in RNAcentral is "bacterial SSU rRNA". It matches the Rfam family "Bacterial small subunit ribosomal RNA", at positions 539 to 1327 of the family's 1533-position model. Lineage: Bacteria; Bacillati; Actinomycetota; Actinomycetes; Micrococcales; Micrococcaceae. The record is from RNAcentral.
CGUUAUCGGAUUAUUGGGCGUAAGAGCUCGUAGGCGGUUUGUCGCGUCUGCCGUGAAAGUCCGGGGCUCAACUCCGGAUCUGCGGUGGGUACGGGCAGACUAGAGUGAUGUAGGGGAGACUGGAAUUCCUGGUGUAGCGGUGAAAUGCGCAGAUAUCAGGAGGAACACCGAUGGCGAAGGCAGGUCUCUGGGCAUUAACUGACGCUGAGGAGCGAAAGCAUGGGGAGCGAACAGGAUUAGAUACCCUGGUAGUCCAUGCCGUAAACGUUGGGCACUAGGUGUGGGGGACAUUCCACGUUUUCCGCGCCGUAGCUAACGCAUUAAGUGCCCCGCCUGGGGAGUACGGCCGCAAGGCUAAAACUCAAAGGAAUUGACGGGGGCCCGCACAAGCGGCGGAGCAUGCGGAUUAAUUCGAUGCAACGCGAAGAACCUUACCAAGGCUUGACAUGGACCGGACCGCCGCAGAAAUGUGGUUUCCCCUUUGGGGCCGGUUCACAGGUGGUGCAUGGUUGUCGUCAGCUCGUGUCGUGAGAUGUUGGGUUAAGUCCCGCAACGAGCGCAACCCUCGUUCUAUGUUGCCAGCGCGUGAUGGCGGGGACUCAUAGGAGACUGCCGGGGUCAACUCGGAGGAAGGUGGGGACGACGUCAAAUCAUCAUGCCCCUUAUGUCUUGGGCUUCACGCAUGCUACAAUGGCCGGUACAAAGGGUUGCGAUACUGUGAGGUGGGAGCUAAUCCCAAAAAGCCCGGUCUCAGUUCGGAUUGGGGGUCUGCACUCCACCCCAUGAAGUC